CCUACGGGUGGCAGCAGUGGGGAAUAUUGCGCAAUGGGCGAAAGCCUGACGCAGCGACGCCGCGUGAGGGAUGAAGGUCCUCGGAUCGUAAACCUCUGUCAGCAGGGAAGAACGGUCACUGUGCUAAUCAGCAGUGAAUUGACGGUACCUGCAAAGGAAGCACCGGCUAACUCCGUGCCAGCAGGCGCGGUAAUACGGAGGAUGCGAGCGUUGAUCGGAAUUACUGGGCGUAAAGCGCUCGUAGGCGGUAUGUCAAGGCAAGGGUGAAAUGCCCGCGCUCAACGUGGGAACUGCCUUUGAAACUGGCAGACUGGAGUGUGUGAGAGGAUAGUGGAAUGCCAGGUGUAGGAGUGAAAUCCGUAGAUAUCGGGAGGAACAUCAGUGGCGAAGGCGACUAUCUGGCACAUAACUGACGCUGAGGAGCGAAAGCGUGGGGAGCGAACAGGAUUAGAUACCCCAGUAGUC
RNAcentral lists this ribosomal RNA (465 nucleotides) under uncultured bacterium. RNAcentral's name for it is "partial 16S ribosomal RNA". It matches the Rfam family "Bacterial small subunit ribosomal RNA", at positions 338 to 795 of the family's 1533-position model. The record is from RNAcentral.